RNAcentral lists this ribosomal RNA (426 nucleotides) under uncultured bacterium. RNAcentral's name for it is "bacterial SSU rRNA". It matches the Rfam family "Bacterial small subunit ribosomal RNA", at positions 353 to 772 of the family's 1533-position model. The record is from RNAcentral.
AGUUUCGAAUCAUUCACAAUGGGCGAAAGCCUGAUGGUGCGACGCCGCGUGAGGGAUGAAGGUCUUCGGAUUGUAAACCUCUGUCACUGGGGAAGAAACGCUUUGAGUUAAUAGUUCAAAGCCUGACUUAACCCGGAGAGGAAGCAGUGGCUAACUCUGUGCCAGCAGCCGCGGUAAUACAGAGACUGCAAGCGUUAUUCGGAUUCACUGGGCGUAAAGGGUGCGCAGGCGGCCGGGUGUGUCAGAUGUGAAAUCCCGAGGCUUAACCUCGGAACUGCGUCUGAAACUACUCGGCUAGAGUAUUGGAGAGGGUAACGGAAUUCACGGUGUAGCAGUGAAAUGCGUAGAUAUCGUGAGGAACACCAGAGGCGAAGGCGGUUACCUGGACAAUUACUGACGCUCAGGCACGAAAGCAUGGGGAGCAAA